This is a long non-coding RNA of Astyanax mexicanus (Mexican tetra), 591 nucleotides long. RefSeq lists it as uncharacterized. The transcript has 4 exons. The record is from RefSeq and is a predicted model, not a curated record. Lineage: Eukaryota; Metazoa; Chordata; Actinopteri; Characiformes; Acestrorhamphidae.
UAUUCUAUGUAUCAUUAAAUUAUCAAAGAGAGAGAGACAGAGAAAGAAAUAUAUAACAUACAUAAUAGAAAGAAAUAGAAAAAUAUUCAUAGGAGAGAGAGAGAGAGAAUAAGGAUAAGUGAGCUACAGUCGCUUCAGUGGUUUUGUAGCCUGCUCGCGCUUCCCGCCAAAAGUGCCGCUAGAGGGCGCGAGGGCUGCAUCAGUGUCAUUCUGAGGUAAAAACUGAGCUCGUUAGCCACUUGCUAAACCGUUUUGCCUUAAAUAUUACUAAAAGUUGAACAGAAACGAUGGAAAAAAUCAGUAAAGGUUUCCUUAUGUAAGGAACCGAACCCCUGCUCCAGAUGGGUGAAACCAGCACAGCCAUUUGAAUAGGUAAUCACCUGAGGUACAGUCUGGCCUUUUGUCACAAACUCAUUUCCGACCUUCACUCUGGGGUAGCACAGAGCUUUCAGCAUGUCAGCAGAGUUCAGGCCCAUAAGUGCCGUCAGGCUCAGCCUGCUCCUCUCUCUGCUUCUGCUUGAACUUCAUGUUUCCGUGAUGCAUCACAGCACCAGUCAGUUUGUAGAUGCUGAUUUUCUCAUCAGCUGUGAA